UGGGGAAUUUUGGACAAUGGACGCAAGUCUGAUCCAGCCAUGCCGCGUGCGGGAAGAAGGCCUUCGGGUUGUAAACCGCUUUUGUCAGGGAAGAAAAGGGUGUCUCUAAUACAGAGGCCUCAUGACGGUACCUGAAGAAUAAGCACCGGCUAACUACGUGCCAGCAGCCGCGGUAAUACGUAGGGUGCAAGCGUUAAUCGGAAUUACUGGGCGUAAAGCGUGCGCAGGCGGUUAUGCAAGACAGAGGUGAAAUCCCCGGGCUCAACCUGGGAACUGCCUUUGUGACUGCAUGACUAGAGUACGGUAGAGGGGGAUGGAAUUCCGCGUGUAGCAGUGAAAUGCGUAGAUAUGCGGAGGAACACCGAUGGCGAAGGCAAUCCCCUGGACCUGUACUGACGCUCAUGCACGAAAGCGUGGGGAGCAAACAGGAUUAGAUACCCCGGUAGUCC
RNAcentral lists this ribosomal RNA (449 nucleotides) under uncultured bacterium. RNAcentral's name for it is "bacterial SSU rRNA". It matches the Rfam family "Bacterial small subunit ribosomal RNA", at positions 355 to 796 of the family's 1533-position model. The record is from RNAcentral.